Molecule: transfer RNA, 76 nt
Filed under: Halobacteriovorax sp.
Lineage: Bacteria; Pseudomonadati; Bdellovibrionota; Bacteriovoracia; Bacteriovoracales; Halobacteriovoraceae
Description: tRNA-Ala
Rfam family: tRNA
About the family: Transfer RNA (tRNA) molecules are approximately 80 nucleotides in length. Their secondary structure includes four short double-helical elements and three loops (D, anti-codon, and T loops).
Source: RNAcentral
GGGGAUAUAGCUCAAUUUUUGGUAGAGCGUGUGUUUUGCGUACAUAAGGUUGUCGGUUCAAGUCCGGUUAUCUCCA